UCUAAAGAUCUUGGAGGAUGGAAGAAUGGAAAUGGAAGUGAUGGAAAAAUUGUGAAGGGAGGGUCACUACUUAUAGAAAAUGGGGACCGUCAGAUUUGUGCAAAGUGGUAAAAUUAGGUGAAGAGAGGAAAGUAAAUGGGAAAGGUGUGAUGUGAUAAUUGAUAGAUGUGACCAGCAAAUGGACGAUACGACGUGACGGCGGUGCAAAAAUUAGAGGCAUGCCAUGCAAACAAUGAUGGUACAUUGCCCAAAUGAGGGCGGUACGCCGCCCAAGUUGGUGGUGCUAACUGUCAAAAGGUGGCGCACGACACUCAACGGGGUGGCACGCCCUUCUGGAGGCAGUGCGCACAGCCCAAGCCAGCCAUGCACUAUAGACCUAGCCUCCCACGCACAAGCCUAGCCUGUCUUGUGUGCAGGCUUUAUAGCAUGCCAGGCACUACAUGUAGGCCUACCGUGCAGAAGGCGCACGCAGACCGCACCUCACACAAUACGCAAAUAGGACAUGCGCACAGUACGCACAUCCUGUG
RNAcentral lists this long non-coding RNA (527 nucleotides) under Carica papaya (papaya). RNAcentral describes it as "long non-coding RNA (CPAP_LNC016628)". The record is from RNAcentral. Lineage: Eukaryota; Viridiplantae; Streptophyta; Magnoliopsida; Brassicales; Caricaceae.